Molecule: unclassified non-coding RNA, 148 nt
Organism: Callithrix jacchus (white-tufted-ear marmoset)
Lineage: Eukaryota; Metazoa; Chordata; Mammalia; Primates; Cebidae
Rfam family: Metazoan signal recognition particle RNA
About the family: The signal recognition particle (SRP) is a universally conserved ribonucleoprotein. It is involved in the co-translational targeting of proteins to membranes. The eukaryotic SRP consists of a 300-nucleotide 7S RNA and six proteins: SRPs 72, 68, 54, 19, 14, and 9.
Source: Ensembl
GUCAGGUGUGGUGGCCCGCGCCUGUAGUCCCAGCUACUAGGGAGACUGAGGCAGAAGAAUCGCUUGAACCCAGGAGGCGGAUGUUGCAGUGAGCGGAGAUCACGCCACUGCACUCCAGCCUGGGUGACAGAGUGAGACUCUGUCUCAA